RNAcentral lists this signal recognition particle RNA (267 nucleotides) under Fidelibacterota bacterium. RNAcentral describes it as "signal recognition particle sRNA large type". It matches the Rfam family "Bacterial large signal recognition particle RNA". Rfam says of the family: The signal recognition particle (SRP) is a universally conserved ribonucleoprotein involved in the co-translational targeting of proteins to membranes. Archaeal SRP consists of a 7S RNA and homologues of the eukaryotic SRP19 and SRP54 proteins. Lineage: Bacteria; Pseudomonadati; Fidelibacterota. The record is from RNAcentral.
CUGUGCUAGAUGGGGAGCUAGCGGUUCCUUGUAACCUGAAAUCCGCUAUAUGCAGGAUUGAAUUCCAAGUAGAAGGGGUUUGAUGAACUUAGUUUUUUUAUACAAGCGGUGUUGAUGUCUUCAGCUUUACGCAAUUAGUAUUUCUUGAAUUCCGCCAGGUCUGGAAGGAAGCAACGGUAGAGAAGUAUUCAUGUGCCGUGAAAUCCUGAAGUUGAGCUGGCUAUAUAAAUAAUUAUUUUAACAUAAACUUCAAUUUUUGGUGCACAG